GAUGAACGCUGGCGGCGUGCCUAAUACAUGCAAGUCGAGCGAACGGACGAGAAGCUUGCUUCUCUGAUGUUAGCGGCGGACGGGUGAGUAACACGUGGAUAACCUACCUAUAAGACUGGGAUAACUUCGGGAAACCGGAGCUAAUACCGGAUAAUAUUUUGAACCGCAUGGUUCAAAAGUGAAAGACGGUUUUGCUGUCACUUAUAGAUGGAUCCGCGCUGCAUUAGCUAGUUGGUAAGGUAACGGCCUACCAAGGCAACGAUGCAUAGCCGACCUGAGAGGGUGAUCGGCCACACUGGAACUGAGACACGGUCCAGACUCCUACGGGAGGCAGCAGUAGGGAAUCUUCCGCAAUGGGCGAAAGCCUGACGGAGCAACGCCGCGUGAGUGAUGAAGGUCUUCGGAUCGUAAAACUCUGUUAUUAGGGAAGAACAUAUGUGUAAGUAACUGUGCACAUCUUGACGGUACCUAAUCAGAAAGCCACGGCUAACUACGUG
This 497-nucleotide ribosomal RNA is filed under the name uncultured bacterium. Its description in RNAcentral is "partial 16S ribosomal RNA". It matches the Rfam family "Bacterial small subunit ribosomal RNA", at positions 28 to 507 of the family's 1533-position model. The record is from RNAcentral.